AGCGAAAUAGCUCAGUUGGCUAGAGCACAUGGUUCAUACCCAUGGGGUCAAGGGUUCAAGUCCCUUUCUCGCUA
This 74-nucleotide transfer RNA is filed under the name Epulopiscium sp. Nele67-Bin005. It matches the Rfam family "tRNA". From Rfam's summary of the family: Transfer RNA (tRNA) molecules are approximately 80 nucleotides in length. Their secondary structure includes four short double-helical elements and three loops (D, anti-codon, and T loops). The record is from Rfam by way of RNAcentral. Lineage: Bacteria; Bacillati; Bacillota; Clostridia; Lachnospirales; Lachnospiraceae.